UUAUACAGCGAAACUGCGAAUGGCUCAUUAUAUAAGUUAUCGUUUAUUUGAUAGUACCUUACUACUUGGAUAACCGUGGUAAUUCUAGAGCUAAUACAUGCUAAAAAUCCCGACUUCGGAAGGGAUGUAUUUAUUAGAUUAAAAACCAAUGCCCUUCGGGGCUCACUGGUGAUUCAUAAUAACUUCUCGAAUCGCAUGGCCUUGCGCCGGCGAUGGUUCAUUCAAAUUUCUUCCCUAUCAACUUUCGAUGCUAGAGUAGUGUUCUAGCAUGGUUACAACGGGUAACGGAGGGUUAGGGCUCGACCCCGGAGAAGGAGCCUGAGAAACGGCUACUACAUCCAAGGAAGGCAGCAGGCGCGCAAAUUACCCAAUCCCGACUCGGGGAGGUAGUGACGAUAAAUACUGAUACAGGGCUCUUUUGGGUCUUGUAAUUGGAAUGAGUACAAUUUAAAUCCCUUAACGAGGAACAAUUGGAGGGCAAGUCUGGUGCCAGCAGCCGCGGUAAUUCCAGCUCCAAUAGCGUAUAUUAAAGUUGUUGUGGUUAAAAAGCUCGUAGUAGAACCUUGGGCCUGGCUGGCCGGUCCGCCUCACCGCGUGCACUGGUCCGGCCGGGCCUUUCCCUCUGUGGAACCGCAUGCCCUUCACUGGGUGUGCCGGGGAAACAGGACUUUUACUUUGAAAAAAUUAGAGUGCUCCAGGCAGGCCUAUGCUCGAAUACAUUAGCAUGGAAUAAUAGAAUAGGACGUGUGGUUCUAUUUUGUUGGUUUCUAGGACCGCCGUAAUGAUUAAUAGGGACAGUCGGGGGCAUCAGUAUUCAAUUGUCAGAGGUGAAAUUCUUGGAUUUAUUGAAGACUAACUACUGCGAAAGCAUUUGCCAAGGAUGUUUUCAUUUAUCAGAACGAAAGUUAGGGGAUCGAAGACGAUCAGAUACCGUCGUAGUCUUAACCAUAAACUAUGCCGACUAGGGAUCGGACGAUGUUAUUUUUUGACUCGUUCGGCACCUUACGAGAAAUCAAAGUGCUUGGGCUCCA
This 1031-nucleotide ribosomal RNA is filed under the name Colletotrichum brevisporum. RNAcentral's name for it is "SSU rRNA". It matches the Rfam family "Eukaryotic small subunit ribosomal RNA", at positions 74 to 1116 of the family's 1831-position model. The record is from RNAcentral. Lineage: Eukaryota; Fungi; Ascomycota; Sordariomycetes; Glomerellales; Glomerellaceae.